This 820-nucleotide ribosomal RNA is filed under the name Rhodococcoides kroppenstedtii. Its description in RNAcentral is "bacterial SSU rRNA". It matches the Rfam family "Bacterial small subunit ribosomal RNA", at positions 39 to 876 of the family's 1533-position model. The record is from RNAcentral. Lineage: Bacteria; Bacillati; Actinomycetota; Actinomycetes; Mycobacteriales; Nocardiaceae.
GCGGCGUGCUUACACAUGCAAGUCGAACGGUAAGGCCUUCGGGGUACACGAGUGGCGAACGGGUGAGUAACACGUGGGUGAUCUGCCCUGCACUUCGGGAUAAGCCCGGGAAACUGGGUCUAAUACCGGGAUAGGACUGCGCGGUGCAUGCCGUGUGGUGGAAAGAUUCAUCGGUGCAGGAUGGGCCCGCGGCCUAUCAGCUUGUUGGUGGGGUAAUGGCCUACCAAGGCGACGACGGGUAGCCGGCCUGAGAGGGCGACCGGCCACACUGGGACUGAGACACGGCCCAGACUCCUACGGGAGGCAGCAGUGGGGAAUAUUGCACAAUGGGCGCAAGCCUGAUGCAGCGACGCCGCGUGAGGGAUGACGGCCUUCGGGUUGUAAACCUCUUUCAGCAGGGACGAAGCGUGAGUGACGGUACCUGCAGAAGAAGCACCGGCCAACUACGUGCCAGCAGCCGCGGUAAUACGUAGGGUGCAAGCGUUGUCCGGAAUUACUGGGCGUAAAGAGCUCGUAGGCGGUUUGUCGCGUCGUCUGUGAAAACCAGCAGCUCAACUGUUGGCUUGCAGGCGAUACGGGCAGACUUGAGUAUUUCAGGGGAGACUGGAAUUCCUGGUGUAGCGGUGAAAUGCGCAGAUAUCAGGAGGAACACCGGUGGCGAAGGCGGGUCUCUGGGAAAUAACUGACGCUGAGGAGCGAAAGCGUGGGUAGCGAACAGGAUUAGAUACCCUGGUAGUCCACGCCGUAAACGGUGGGCGCUAGGUGUGGGUUUCCUUCCACGGGAUCCGUGCCGUAGCUAACGCAUAAGCGCCCCGCCUGG